AGUCGACGAUGAAUCUUCUAGCUUGCUAGAAGUGGAUUAGUGGCGCACGGGUGAGUAAUGCAUAGGUUAUGUGCCCUUUAGUCUGGGAUAGCCACUGGAAACGGUGAUUAAUACUGGAUACUCCCUACGGGGGAAAGUUUUUCGCUAAAGGAUCAGCCUAUGUCCUAUCAGCUUGUUGGUGAGGUAAUGGCUCACCAAGGCUAUGACGGGUAUCCGGCCUGAGAGGGUGAUCGGACACACUGGAACUGAGACACGGUCCAGACUCCUACGGGAGGCAGCAGUAGGGAAUAUUGCUCAAUGGGGGAAACCCUGAAGCAGCAACGCCGCGUGGAGGAUGAAGGUUUUAGGAUUGUAAACUCCUUUUGUUAGAGAAGAUUAUGACGGUAUCUAACGAACAAGCACCGGCUAACUCCGUGCCAGCAGCCGCGGUAAUACGGAGGGUGCAAGCGUUACCCGGAAUCACUGGGCGUAAAGAGUGCGUAGGCGGGGUAAUAAGUCAGAUGUGAAAUCCUGUAGCUUAACUACAGAACUGCAUUUGAAACUGUUACUCUGGAGUGUGGGAGAGGUAGGUGGAAUUCUUGGUGUAGGGGUAAAAUCCGUAGAGAUCAAGAGGAAUACUCAUUGCGAGGGCGACCUGCUGGAACAUUACUGACGCUGAUGCACGAAAGCGUGGGGAGCAAACAGGAUUAGAUACCCUGGUAGUCCACGCCCUAAACGAUGGAUGCUAGUUGUUGCCUUGCUUGUCAGGGCAGUAAUGCAGCUAACGCAUUAAGCAUCCCGCCUGGGGAGUACGGUCGCAAGAUUAAAACUCAAAGGAAUAGACGGGGACCCGCACAAGCGGUGGAGCAUGUGGUUUAAUUCGAAGAUACGCGAAGAACCUUACCUAGGCUUGACAUUGAU
This 900-nucleotide ribosomal RNA is filed under the name uncultured bacterium. RNAcentral's name for it is "bacterial SSU rRNA". It matches the Rfam family "Bacterial small subunit ribosomal RNA", at positions 60 to 991 of the family's 1533-position model. The record is from RNAcentral.